RNAcentral lists this small RNA (2067 nucleotides) under Pyricularia oryzae. RNAcentral describes it as "Magnaporthe oryzae sRNA M_BR32_EuGene_00110811". Lineage: Eukaryota; Fungi; Ascomycota; Sordariomycetes; Magnaporthales; Pyriculariaceae. The record is from RNAcentral.
UUUUUAUUUAUUAUUAUAUAAUAAUAUUAUAAAUAUUUUGCAGGAAUCUUUUACGGAAGCCCGGAUAUAUUUUUAUUUUAACGAAAAUAAUUUUAAUAAUAAUGCAAAUAAAAUUAUUUACGCAAUUUUAUUUUAAAAAAACAACGGGUUCGUUCAAUUCGAAUUAAUUUUGGGAAAUUAUUUGGAUUAUAAUAAAAAAAAACCGUGAAAUUAAAAUUAAUCGUAUUUUCGACAAUUAUAAUAAUUUCGAAAAAUAUUCUAGGAAAAUAUUUGGUAAUUGAAACGAAAAACGUACGGUUAAACGUAAAUUGGUGCAUUUUACCUAAACCAAAUUAAUAUUUAAAUAUACCAGUAAAUUUCGACAAAUUACCGCCAAAUUAUUAUAAAGAAAAAAUUUAAAUAAUACGUUUUUAUGCGGAAUUUAAAAACAAAAUUAAAAAUAAUUUAAUUAAAAAAAAAUAACUCAAUAUAUUAAUAAAAUAUAUGGAAUUAACGGUUAAAAUUAAUAACCGAUUUUAUAAACGGGAAUUGGAAUGACGCGAAAAACGUAACGUAUAAAAUCCAAUUUUGCGAUAAAUUAAUAUAAAACGCAAAUACCAAUACCCCAAAGCGUUUCGUUAAUAUAAUAUCGCGUACAAUAUAUAAAAUAAAUUUAUAAAUUUAAACGUAAUUUAAUAUUAAUAAUUUCGCCAAAAUCCCAAAGAUAAUAAAUAUUUUAAAUAUAAUAAUCAAAAUAUAUUACGCGAAAUUGUUUUAAAAUACAUAAUAAUACCCCGGAAUUUAUUAUUAAUUUUAAAAACAAAUCCGAAAAACCACAAAAAUUCAAUAUUAUUAAUUGUAACCAAAUAUAAUUUAAUUAACAUAAUAUAAUAAAUUGGAUUAUUCAUUAUAAUAGCAAUUAUAUAAUUUAUAAUAAUUCCAAAAUUAAUAUAGGUUAAUACCCGUAAAAAUCCCGAAAUAUUCGAAUUUUAACGGUAAAAAAUCGGAUAUUUAUUCAAAUAAAACAACCAAUUAAUUUAUACCGAUAAAACGUUAAAUUACCCGAAUUUAUAAAUUUAGACGUUUUAGGAAAAUCGGAUGCGGAAUUAUUAAAAUAAAUUUACCGUAUUAAAAUAACAAAUUAAUUAUUAACCGAAAAAUCGAACGACGAAUUUAAAAAAAAUUCCAGCGAUAAAAAAAACGUAGUUUUAAAUAUAUAUAGUAUAAUAAAAACCAAUAAUUUAUAUAAAUUUAAAAAAAACAAAUCGAUUUAUACCGGGACCAAUUAAUAUAAUUUCUAAAUUAUAUUUUAAUUUAGCAAAAACGGGAUUUUAUAAAACAUAUAAUACCAAUAUUUAAAAAUUAUUCCAAAUUAAAUACCGCAUACCAGAAAUAUAUUUGUAUUUUUUAAAUUAAAUAUUUCCGAAAUAAUUACGAAAUUUAUUUAAAUAAAAACAUUUACUAUAAUUUUUUCCUAUUAUAAUAAUUAAUAACUGGAAUUUACGAAAUUUAUAUAAUUUAAAAAUUACCCAAUUGGGAAAUUAAAAUUAAAUUCCGAAACGAAUUAGCGGUUAUUUUUAUAUUUAACGAUAAAUAUCCCAUAACGUAUUAUUAUUAAUCCAAUUUCCCAUAAUAUAAAUAUAUUCGCAAUAUAUAUAAAAUGUAUAUAUUAACCAAAAUUUAAAAUUGGUACGUACGAAAAUAAUAAUACCAAAUAGUUGCAUUUAUAAUUAAAAUUAUAUAAAAUCCACAAAUAAAAAACUAACAAAUAUUUAUAAAUGCGCGCAAAAUACCAAUAUUAAUAAAAUAUCCAUUUAAUUAAAUUAAAAUAAAAAAUAAUUAUACGCCCCAAAAUAAAAAAACCAAAAAUUUAUAACGCGAAUUUAAUAAAUUAAAAAAUUAAAAUAACCAGACGGUAUAGGGUACCGAACGGCGAAAACGGAAAUAAAAACUUUAAACGUUACGCAAAAUACGAUAAUAAAAUACAAAUAUAUAUUUUUUAAUAUACGAUUUAAUAAUAAAUCUAUACAAAUAACUUUCGAUAAUAAAAUAUAAAAUAAUUAUAUAUUCCCAAAAAUUGUAAAAAAA